GCUCCUCGUGCAACGUCGCUAAAGGCCACUGAAUCAAAUGCCAACAACAAUAUUUAUAGUAUUUGUAGUGAUCAAUUAUUGAAAGCUCUAAACAUAAAUACCAUCUCUCACAUUUCCACCAUAUGAGUGGUGAUUUUCCUCAAUCUUAUAUGCAUACAACAAAAUCCCCGACCACAAUCUUUCAUUUCAGAAAAAGACAAAGUGCGACAACAACAAUAAAUUCAUUAUCUUUUACCUUAUUCUUUCUAUCCUCGUGUGUAUCCGCUAGGGGUGUUGAACAGUGAAAUUUCAACAAAUUUCCACUAAUAUUAAACGAAUUUCCAUCCAUUUCAACAAAUUUUCACCCAUAUAAAACAAACUUUCGCCCAUCUUAAUAACAAUUCUGCUUGGCGAAAUUUUAACACAAAAAAUUGAAAAAAAAUAACACCGAAGAAGAAAAGGGCUAACCUCUUCGGCUUUGGAUAUAUUUUCGCGGGAGAAUAUUUUCCUGUGAAAAAUAGAGAGUAGUGAUGGCCAAAAGAAAGAGGAAGUGAGGUUGGCAGAAGAAAGAGUGAAUAAGUGUGGC
Molecule: long non-coding RNA, 565 nt
Filed under: Salvia miltiorrhiza (redroot sage)
Lineage: Eukaryota; Viridiplantae; Streptophyta; Magnoliopsida; Lamiales; Lamiaceae
Description: long non-coding RNA (SMIL_LNC013298)
Source: RNAcentral